This 72-nucleotide transfer RNA is filed under the name Vallitaleaceae bacterium. Its description in RNAcentral is "tRNA-Glu". It matches the Rfam family "tRNA". Rfam says of the family: Transfer RNA (tRNA) molecules are approximately 80 nucleotides in length. Their secondary structure includes four short double-helical elements and three loops (D, anti-codon, and T loops). The record is from RNAcentral. Lineage: Bacteria; Bacillati; Bacillota; Clostridia; Lachnospirales; Vallitaleaceae.
GGCCCGUUCGUCUAACGGUUAGGAUGACACGCUUUCAAUGUGUCGACAGGAGUUCGACUCUCCUACGGGCUA